CAGCGGCCCUAGUGGUGAUCGUUAUUAUUGGGCCUAAAGCGUCCGUAGCCGGUUCGGUAAAUCUCUGGGUAAAUCGUUGGGCUUAACUCAACGAAUUCUGGGGAGACUGCCGAACUUGGGACCGGGAGAGGUCGGAGGUACUCCAGGGGUAGGGGUGAAAUCCUGUAAUCCUCGGGGGACCACCGGUGGCGAAAGCGUCCGACCAGAACGGGUCCGACAGUGAGGGACGAAAGCCAGGGGAGCAAACCGGAUUAGAGACCCGUGUAGUCC
RNAcentral lists this ribosomal RNA (270 nucleotides) under uncultured archaeon. RNAcentral describes it as "partial 16S ribosomal RNA". It matches the Rfam family "Archaeal small subunit ribosomal RNA", at positions 477 to 747 of the family's 1478-position model. The record is from RNAcentral.